AGAAUCAACGCUGGCGGCGUGCCUAACACAUGCAAGUCGAACGAGAAAGUGGGAGCAAUCCCACGAGUAAAGUGGCGCACGGGUGAGUAACACGUGACUAACCUACCCUUGAGUGGGGGAUAACCUAGGGAAACCUGGGCUAAUACCGCAUAAUACCUACGGGUCAAAGGAGCAAUUCGCUUAAGGAGGGGGUCGCGGCAGAUUAGUUAGUUGGCGGGGUAAUGGCCCACCAAGACAGUGAUCUGUAUCCGGCCUGAGAGGGCGCACGGACACACUGGAACUGAAACACGGUCCAGACUCCUACGGGAGGCAGCAGUGGGGAAUUUUGCGCAAUGGGGGAAACCCUGACGCAGCAACGCCGCGUGGAGGAUGAAGCCCCUUGGGGCGUAAACUCCUUUCGAUCGGGAAGAUAAUGACGGUACCGGAAGAAGAAGCCCCGGCUAACUUCGCGCCAGCAGCCGC
RNAcentral lists this ribosomal RNA (462 nucleotides) under uncultured bacterium. RNAcentral describes it as "SSU rRNA". It matches the Rfam family "Bacterial small subunit ribosomal RNA", at positions 26 to 518 of the family's 1533-position model. The record is from RNAcentral.